This 441-nucleotide ribosomal RNA is filed under the name uncultured bacterium. RNAcentral describes it as "bacterial SSU rRNA". It matches the Rfam family "Bacterial small subunit ribosomal RNA", at positions 958 to 1401 of the family's 1533-position model. The record is from RNAcentral.
AACGCGAAGAACCUUACCAGGUCUUGACAUCCCUCUGAAUAUCCUAGAGAUAGGGUAGGCUUUCGGGACAGAGGAGACAGGUGGUGCAUGGUUGUCGUCAGCUCGUGUCGUGAGAUGUUGGGUUAAGUCCCGCAACGAGCGCAACCCUUGAUCUUAGUUGCCAGCACGCAAGGUGGGCACUCUAAGAUGACUGCCGGUGACAAACCGGAGGAAGGUGGGGAUGACGUCAAAUCAUCAUGCCCCUUAUGACCUGGGCUACACACGUACUACAAUGGUCGAUACAACGGGAAGCGAAGCCGCGAGGCGGAGCCAAUCUUAUAAAGUCGAUCUCAGUUCGGAUUGCAGGCUGCAACUCGCCUGCAUGAAGUCGGAAUUGCUAGUAAUCGCGGAUCAGCAUGCCGCGGUGAAUACGUUCCCGGGCCUUGUACACACCGCUACAGU